RNAcentral lists this transfer RNA (65 nucleotides) under Cucujoidea sp. 24 KM-2017. RNAcentral's name for it is "tRNA-Val". Lineage: Eukaryota; Metazoa; Arthropoda; Insecta; Coleoptera. The record is from RNAcentral.
CAAAUUAGAGCUUGUAGCGUUUUACUUACAUUAAAAAGAUUGAUUGUUUAAACAAUUUAAUUUGA